Molecule: ribosomal RNA, 253 nt
Filed under: uncultured bacterium
Lineage: Bacteria
Description: partial 16S ribosomal RNA
Rfam family: Bacterial small subunit ribosomal RNA
Source: RNAcentral
UACGUAGGGUGCGAGCGUUGUCCGGAAUUAUUGGGCGUAAAGGGCUCGUAGGCGGUCUGUUGCGUCGGGAGUGAAAACUCAGGGCUUAACCCUGAGCCUGCUUCCGAUACGGGCAGACUAGAGGUAUGCAGGGGAGAACGGAAUUCCUGGUGUAGCGGUGGAAUGCGCAGAUAUCAGGAGGAACACCAAUAGCGAAGGCAGCUCGCUGGGACGGUACUGACGCUGAGGCGCGAAAGCGUGGGGAGCGAACAGG